RNAcentral lists this ribosomal RNA (675 nucleotides) under Hydrozoanthus gracilis. RNAcentral describes it as "LSU rRNA". It matches the Rfam family "Bacterial large subunit ribosomal RNA", at positions 1838 to 2512 of the family's 2925-position model. Lineage: Eukaryota; Metazoa; Cnidaria; Anthozoa; Zoantharia; Hydrozoanthidae. The record is from RNAcentral.
UAGAUGUAUAGAGGGUGAGGCCUGCCCAAUGGUUGUAUCUAAAAGCGGUUGAUAAAAGUCGACCUCGUAAGGACAAUUGAAUGGCCGCGGUAACACUGACCGUGAUAAUGUAGCGUAAUCAAUAGCCAAUUAAUUGUUGGCCAGUAUGAAUGGCGCCACGAAGGCCCCACUGUCUUAAGGAAAUUCCCAGUGAAAUUGAAUUCGUAGUGAAGAUGCUACGUCCAAUUUGUUAGACGAAAAGACCCCGUUGAGCUUUACUGGGGCACUUACACGGCCCCGGCCUUCCAAACUAGGCUUACUAUGCCUAGAGGUCGGCCGAAUUUAAAUGGGUGGUUUAGAUUAUGUGGCAGCCCCCCGUCGGGGCAGAUGAAACCCCACUCCCCCAUGUCAAAGGGGCUAACCCCCCCCUUGGGGGGGACAGUGUAAGUAGGACAGUUUGGUUGGGGCGACCGCCUUUUAAAGAGUAACGAAGGUGCGCUUAAGGUGCGCAAAUAAUGACUGAAGCCUGACUGCGAGGGGGACACCCCGAGCAGACACCCCCAAGCCUGCCCUAAGGGCGGCGGUGGGGUGGGCCAUAGUGACCCGUUAAUUUAGAGUGGAAUAGUUAACGAUCAACGAAUAAAAGUUACCACGGGGAUAACAGCGUAAUAUCGUUAGAGAGUUCACAUCGACGAC